CAGUUCGGAUCGCAGGCUGCAACUCGCCUGCGUGAAGUUGGAAUUGCUAGUAAUCGCGGAUCAGCAUGCCGCGGUGAAUACGUUCCCGGGCCUUGUACACACCGCCCGUCACACCAUGGGAGUUUGGAAUGCCCGAAGCCGGUGACCUAACCGAAAGGGAGGAGCCGUCGAAGGCAGGCUUGAUAACUGGGGUGAAGUCGUAACAAGGUACC
Molecule: ribosomal RNA, 212 nt
Filed under: uncultured bacterium
Lineage: Bacteria
Description: partial 16S ribosomal RNA
Rfam family: Bacterial small subunit ribosomal RNA
Source: RNAcentral